AAAGUAAAACCCACACCUAAAUUAAAGUUACAAUUCCAACUACUGUCACAAAAAGUUUUACCCCUGAACAAAAUAGUUUAGUAUUUUAUAAAAUUCAAAAGGCAUUUAUUUAAUUGUUUUAGCUACUAUUUUAUUCAUUUUAGAUUAUUUAAAAAUCUUACAAAAGUGUGGUUUCUCCACCAUAAUUACCUAUGCAUCAUUUGUCUCCACCCGAACAUUUAGUUUUAAUAUUUGAAAACUUUUAUUGUUUGACUUUAUUUUAAAUUUGAAAUUUGAACUGACGCGAGUUUAUCAACAGUAACCGAGGUGACGCGUUAUCAUUAGCGGAGGUUCACUGUAGCUUAAUUAUCCGGGCAUCACAAUUCUCCUCCACUACAAGAAAUCCCGUCCCGAGAUUUAAGAGGUAGAGUAGGGGGAAAGUCUGGUUACGAAAUGCUAACAGAUCUUCUCGGUCUUGGCUGCUCUUCUCGAAGAAGUUAAUCCCUUUCGUUGAUGUCGUCAAUUCUCUAUUUCAGGUCAUCAUGAUGAAGUCGGUAUCCUUUCUUCGGGAACUCCAUCAUACUUACAAAAGAAUAAGGGGUGUAUCCCGUAAGAACGGGUCUGCAUUAGGGCAUGAAAGGGGUUGAGAUCAGCGGGAAUAAGUAUUGUGUCUGGUACCAGAAUUGAUGAUCUCUCGGGAGGUGGCUCGUGAAUUACUUAUGAGGCCACGCGCGAGGAAUAACUUUGGGAACAGGGGUUGUACAUGAGAGCCAGGUUUUGAUCCUGUGGAACUGUGGGUUAUGGGCCCACCAUGUGGGUUAAAAGUAGGAAGGGCGGUGACAUCUUGCACGAUUAUGUAAGCAAGGCAUGUCAGAGGUAGUCUGUCGGUUAUGUCGGCAACAACAUCGGUACCAAGGGCGAGAGACGAAGAGAACCAUUUUCCUGCUCGUUGAACGAGGCGGAUAGUAGGCAAAGUUCUCGUCCAUCGGUGGUUACCGGAAUGUCAUCAACAAAAGCAACAGGGUCUUUCUGACAGAAUUGUGCACCGAGUUAGUUACAUAAGCAGGGAAUUGUUACUGCUUAGAUCAUAUUGAUCGCAAGAAAGGUUAAAGAAAACAAUGGAAAGGAAAAUGUGUUUAAACAUAUAUUUCAGGGGUAUAUCCUUUCCAAGGAUAAGCAGAGCAUGAUAUCCAUGACAGGAUAGUAAGUAGAAAACCAUUUAGGUAAGGGGAGAGGAUUUCAUGACAUAGCCCAAACAACGGUAUUUGGAUAAUGGACAGAGAAAAUUUAGCAUUGUUCUUCAAAUGCUCUUAUUGAAAAUCGGAGUACCACAGACAUGCUUCGAGGUAGCAUUGCCAUGGUCUUCAAGCAAAGGUCAGACUCUGGAUACACGAAGGGAUUCAUCAUUAAGCCAAGGAGAGGAUGAGGAGGUGGCUGAUGGACUUAGCGAUAAUUCAACGGGGUAUCCAAAAAGAUGGAUUUCCAUAGUUAUGUGAACAAGGAGAUAACAUUUGUCGGAUCAAAUGAUAUAAUGAUGUAUGCUCAAGGAAAACAUACACAAUUAAUCAUUGGUUGAAAGGUGUACCCAAAAUAGGGGCUGGGUUGCACAACCAACGUCGGAAUGGCGAUUGAGCAACCAACACACUAAAUUGGAAUUAUUGUCCAUUAACUCUGAAGCAAUAGGGUAGCUAGAGAUAAUAAAUUCGCACAAUAGAGUUCACUCAACACGGGGACUAAGAAAAGAAUGGUGAUGGCGAGAUGCAUCACUGUACCAAGAAUUUUUAAGAGGUGGUGAAAUUCUCACCACAUUCUUGACAUAAAAGAUGGUAAUAUUCCAAAGUAAUUAAGAACAGUUGCUGGAUAGCAAGGAACUCAAGGUAUAACACAAAACACGAACAAGUUUGUAUUGGAGGGGAGGCAUUAAAGUGGUCGAUAAAAACACAAAUCAUCGAGGGCAAGGACGGUAUUUCUCAUCAUGAAUUCAAUUGAUAUCCAGGAAGAGCUCAGAAUGUUGAUGAUGAUCAUGACAGAUUCUGUCGAGAGGUUUCCUGGAGAUGUAAUCGAUCAGCGAUGACAUCAAGUCAAAGGAAUGAUGAAGCGAAAUGAUCUUGGGACCAUGAGUAGGACACAAACUCGAAUUCAAGCUUGUUGUUCAAGGUGGAACGAUAAGACAAGGAAGAUCGACGUAAGCUUAGCUCGUCACCAAAAGUUGUGCUCUGGGAAUAAGGACCAGGUAGCACAGUUAAAAUUUAGCACUUUAAUGAUAUAGCCGAUCAGGCUAGGAAUGACUUGAAGGAUUAAUAAACUCAUAAGCAACGGAGAUUACUUAGAGCUAUUGAAUCAGAGUGCGAAAUUGAUUCACUUAUCAGUGUCCUUGAGUGUCUAAUAACUCAUAACCCGGGGAAAAUUGGAAUCGGUGAGAAAUAAUACUUGAAGAACUCAUAAGAAGUAAUAUGGUUUUGUGCUAUUAUCGAGAUACCAAGGGGUAAUACUCGAAGGUAGAUCAUAAUAUAGGUUGGACGGGUGCAUUGAUCUGCAGAGGACAAGUGGUUCAACUUGUCCGAGAAAAGGAUCAAAGAUGAUCAAUCAUGGUCGGUACCAUGGUCGCAAAGGACCAACAUAGAUACAAGAUGAACUUAUAACAAGGGGACCAUUAUUAAUACAAGAAGCUUUCAUGAUAGAUUCCACAUCGGGUCCAUGGGCAUGAACACAAAGUUCAAGGUCGACUCCCACUUCUCCAAAGCAGAACCUUACAUUCACUUCUCAUUUUGAUAAUGGUAUUAGUGUUGACAGUUUUACCUGGUGAAAUACCAGAUGAGUAUGGCCCGUGAAAUCUUUCAGGCUCACAUAGAUUAGUUAAGGCAUUGGUUCAACCCAUCGAGGCGUCUUAGGAACAUAUACCACAAAUUUUUAGAAGUAAUUAACACAAGCUCGAAAGUAGAGCAUGGUUCACAAAAACAGGGGAUACAAUUUACCAAAGGCAUUACGUAUCAGGGAAAGAACUUCCAAAGUGAUUGAAUAUGAAGGACGUUGUCGGAUAAAAUCCAACAAGGUUCUGAUGGUCCAUAAAGGAUCUGAUGUGAGUAUCGGCUCACAACCAGAGGAAGAAUCAAUGCAAAGACAUUGGAUUAUAGAAACAACUGAGUAACUUGGAGCUCAAUUGCAAAGGAAUUAUGAUUUACAAAGCGAAGGAUCAGAAGCAGACGCUCCGAUCAAGGAUGGAUAAGUUCAAUAUACUUAGGGGCACAAUCGACGUCAAUUUGAUUGGCGAGAACCAGCCCACGUUUGAAAUGACGUCUGAGCCGGAAGGAUGAAUUCUAGGAUAUGACUGAGGAUUGAGAGCAUUCACAUCAUAUUGGAUCAACAGACUUAAAAUGAUAAUGACAAAGGAUGCCAAUAAGAUUACCAGACUUAUAGGAUUUAAUCCCAAUGCAAGCAACCAAGAAUUUCAAGAGCAAUAGGUUGUUGAGGAUCUUCAGAAGAUCAGAUAGUAUUUAAGAGUAUCUUAUGAAGCAUACGAACAACUGGGAUGAACAGAUACUCGAUAAGUGCGAGGAAUUAUCCGUAGGGGGUAUUCAUGCGGUAAAGAACUACAAGGCAGUAAACUCAAAGGAUUGUCGAAACAGUAUAGAGAAUUUCGAGGUAUCUUGUAAUAACAAGAUCAAUGGGGAAUCAUUGAAUGAAUGGAAAGUGUACGUGGUUAUCCAUAGGGUUUAUCGAUGGAAGGGAAUUGCAAAAUCGAUGGCACAAAGUCUCAGGAGAACAUCGGAGAGUAUUGUCAAAAUCUUCUGUUGAAGCAGUUGAUCAUCUGUAAUGAAGGGGCUCUCCGGCAGGAAGUGUAACGAGAACCUAAAGUUAGAUUUUAGCAAAAUCAUUUAACCCGAAUAGAAGGGAGAUCAGAGUUCCAGAGUAUAGACGAGGAACAAAAGAUCCUAAUACCACCCCAUGGCGACGUGGGCCCAUGGGCCGCACAGCCAUGUUAGUAAAACAGUUUUCAUCGACUAGACUCAACUUCGGCCAAGGAGUGUGGAAGAGGGAUUCCUACAGGCAGUCGGCUCUGAUACCAACUUGUGACGCCCCCGAUUCAAUCGUACACUAAUCAUACAUGCAAACGUGUACGAUCAAGAUCAGGGACUCACGGGAAGAUAUCACAACACAACUCUACAAAUAAAAUAAGUCAUACAAGCAUCAUAUUACAAGCCAGGGGCCUCGAGGGCUCGAAUACAAGAGCUCGAUCAUAGACGAGUCAGCGGAAGCAACAAUAUCUGAGUACAGACAUAAGUUAAACAAGUUUGCCUUAAGAAGGCUAACACAAACUAGGAUACAGAUCGAAAGAGGCGCAUGCCUCCUGCCUGGGAUCCUCCUAACUACUCCUGGUCGUCGUCAGCGGGCAGCAUGUAGUAGUAGGCACCUCCGGUGUAGUAGGAGUCGUCAUCGACGGUGGCGUCUGGAUCCUGGGCUCCAACAUCUGGUUGUGACAACCAGGUAGAAGGGAUAGAAGGAAAAGAAGGAGAAGCAACCGUGAGUACUCAUCCAAAGUACUCGCAAGCAAGGAGCUACACUACAUAUGCAUGGGUAUAUGUGUAAAGGCCAUAUCGGUGGACUGAACUGUAGAAAGCCAGAAUAAGAGGGGGAUAGCUAAUCCUGUCGAAGACUACGCUUCUGGUCACCUCCAGCUUGCAACAUGUAGAAGAGAGUAGACUGAAGUCCUCCAAGUAGCAUCGCAUAGCAUAACCCUAACCGAUGAUCCUCCCCUCGUCGCCCUGUGAGAGAGCGAUCACCGGUUGUAUCUAGCACUUGGAAGGGUGUGUUUUAUUAAGUAUCUGGUUCUAGUUGUCAUAAGGUCAAGGUACAACUCCAAGUCGUCCUGUUACCGAAGAUCACGGCUAUUCGAAUAGAUUAACUUUCCUGCAGGGGUGCACCACAUAACCCAAUACGCUCGAUCCCAUUUUGCCGGACACACUUUCCUGGGUCAUGCCCGGCCUCGGAAGAUCAACAUGUCGCAGCCCUACCUAGGCACAACAGAGAGGUCAGCAUGCCGGUCUAAAUCCUAUGGCGCAGGGGUCUGGGCCCAUCGCCCAUUGCACACCUGCACGUUGCGUACGCGGCCGAAGCAGAACUAGCCCCCUUAAUACAAGAGCAGGCUUACGGUCCAAUCCGGCGCGCGCCACUCAGUCGCUGACGUCACGAAGGCUUCGGCUGAUACCACAACGUCGAGUGCCCAUAACUGUCCCCGCGUAGAUGGUUAGUGCGUAUAGGCCAGUAGCCAGACUCAGAUCAAAUACCAAGAUCUCGUUAAACGUGUUAAGUAUCUGCGAACGCCGACCAGGGCCAGGCCCACCUCUCUCCUAGGUGGUCUCAACCUGCCCUGUCGCUCCGCCACAAAGUAACAGUCGGGGGCCGUCGGGAACCCAGGCCCACCUCUACCGGGAUGGAGCCACCUGCCCCUUCAGCCCCCAUCUCCGAACAGUAUCAUAAGUAAUGUAACUGUGUAAAGUAUAUAGUAUAUGCCCGUGAUCACCUCCCGAAGUGAUCACGGCCCAGUAGUAUAGCAUGGCAGACGGACAAGAGUGUAGAGCCACUAAUGGAACACUAGCAUCCUAUACUAAGCAGUAGGAUAGCAGGUAAUGGUAACAACAGUAGUAGCAAGGACAGGCUAUGCAUCAGGAUAGGAAUAACGGAAAGCAGUAACAUGCUACACUACUCUAAUGCAAGCAGUAUAGAGAAGAGUAGGCGAUAUCUGGUGAUCAAAGGGGGGGCUUGCCUGGUUGCUCUGGCCAGAGAGAGGGGUCGUCGAUGCAGUCGAUCACAGGGGUACCGGCAUCGGCCUUAGGGUCUACCGGAAAGAAGUAACAAAGGGGGAACACAAUAAAUAACAGAGCAAUCAAAUGUAACACAAAGCAAGACGCGGCAAUACGCGGUGCUAGGUAUGUCCUAACGCGGUAUUAUGUGAUACCGGCGAAAGGGGGAAACAUCCGGAAAAGUAUUACCGAUGUUUCACGUUUUCGGAUAGACGGACUGGACAGUGAAAGUUGCAUGUUCGCUAUGCUAGGGACGUGUGGCUGAUCAACAGACUAUGUAUUCGGAUCCGUCUCAUCGUUCUGAGCAACUUUCAUGUAUAAAGUAUUUUCAUCUGAACUACGGAUUAUUUUAUAUGAUUUUCCGAAGUUUAAAUGAUUUUCUAAAUUUUUUGGAUUUAAUUAUAUUUCGAAAUUAAAAGAGAAUAUACUAAGUGUACCCAUGGGUUUCCUAGUCUAUUGUGUGGCAAGUGGGGCCAGUGGGGCUGGGUUGAACCAGUCAACAUUUGACUGGUCAACACAUGAAUAGUAGAAGUGGAUCCCACAUGUCAUAGGCUAUACCUAAACAAAUAAAUAAAUACUAACCUAAUUAAUAGGGUCCUCAUGUCAUCUGCUAGUAGCUAACCUACAUACUAAUUAACCCUAAACUAAUUGAACAUGGGGCCGGCCUCACAAACACAGAACACACACGCACACACACAACUAGGGGUUAAUUGUGUUCUUUGUUAAUAGAAGAUAGCCUUUUGUGAUUUUCGUACGAUUUAAUCCGUUCAUCGAAAGGAUUUGGUCUAAUGGGAUAAAAUGAAUUUUGUCAAGUAUACUUUCUACUCAUAAUUUUUCUUGGCCUAUUAGUAAUUGUUUACCCGCUGAUUAGAGGCUGUCAAGGGGGUUAGUCAGCGUAAUAUUCACAAAGCUAGCCAUAGUUACAGUAGCAUUCAGCAGCAGCAGUACGUUCAGAGCAGCAGCAGUCAUCGGCAUGGCGCGGAGACGGCCAGGCAACGCCGCGCACGGCCGGAUUCGGCCCGGGCCGCGUUGCCGGAGCUAGAUGCAGGCGGAGGCGGCGGCAAAGGUUCCAGCGGACGCACGCAGGACUAGCAGGGGCGGCGGUAGCAUCGGCGAGCGCACGUGCAGGAAGCUCGAGUGGCGCGGGCGAGCAUGGCCAGGCAGAUGGGAGAGGCUGGCAGGUGCGUGUGACAGUGCAGCGCGGGCAGGGGAGCCUGGGGGCGUGGCCGGUGCGAGCGAACAGCGCCAGGCGCGGUGUCGCGCGCGUGGACGGCGAUGGCGGCCACGGCCGACGCGGUCAGGCGAGGCGGACGCACGGCAGCGGGUGAGCGGCGGUAGGCGGAGGCGAGGCCACGGGUGGGCACGCGCGGGAGCGCAGGCUGCAGUAGCGAACGAGCCUGCGCGACAGUAGCAGCAGUAGCGCAGCAGUGGAGGUGGUCGAAGCAAGAGGCCAUGAGGACUAACGGCGGCCAAAGUUCUGUGGGGAACGACGGCUAUAGGCAUGGGUCGAUCAGGGAAGAGCGGGAAUCGAGUGAGGACCUCACCGCGGUGUCGUAGGCGAGAUCGAGAAGGCCGGGGGUGGAGCGACGGCGAUGAAUUCGUCGAUGGUGUCGCGGUGGUUGGAGGUUGAAGACGACGUCGAUCCCUGCGAUCCAGGGGCUCCCGGCUCCAACUGGUGGACGUAGUCGAAGGAGUGGACGUCGGCGAAGCUCGCAAACGAGGUGGCUGGGCGCGGGGAGCUUGGUGGGCGCGUGGAUGUCGGAGGCCAUGGCGAUGCAGGUUCGGCCAAGGGUUGCAGGGACGAAAGCGGCACAGGGGAGGGGAAAAGGAGAGCUAGGGUUCGUCAACACGUCGAGGGGGAUCUUAUAGACCGUCCAGGAGCCAUGGAUGCACGACGCGUGGACGAUCCGUCCAUGGACGCACGAGCAACGGCCAGCACUCCCCUGAUGAACAGGGGUUGAAGAUGGGGAGCUGGUGGGCUGGGCCUGGUGGCCGGGAUGCCCGGUUGGGUCGAACAGCCCAGGGGGAAGGGGGCUUGGUUUCUUUUGUUUUGUUUUAUUCUUACCUUUGUUUUCUGUUUUCUUUUAUUUCUUUAAUAGUUUAUAGCUUUAAAAAAAGUAAAACCCACACCUAAAUUAAAGUUACAAUUCCAACUACUGUCACAAAAAGUUUUACCCCUGAACAGUAUUUUAUAAAAUUCAAAAGGCAUUUAUUUAAUUGUUUUAGCUACUAUUUUAUUCAUUUUAGAUUAUUUAAAAAUCUUACAAAAGUGUGGUUUCUCCACCAUAAUUACCUAUGCAUCAUUUGUCUCCACCCGAACAUUUAGUUUUAAUAUUUGAAAACUUUUAUUGUUUGACUUUAUAUUAAAUUUGAAAUUUGAACUGACGCGAGUUUAUCAACAGUAACCGAGGUGACGUGUUAUCAUUAGCGGAGGUUCACUGUAGCUUAAUUAUCCG
Molecule: long non-coding RNA, 8236 nt
Filed under: Triticum aestivum (bread wheat)
Lineage: Eukaryota; Viridiplantae; Streptophyta; Magnoliopsida; Poales; Poaceae
Description: long non-coding RNA (TAES_LNC014363)
Source: RNAcentral